CCUACGGGUGGCAGCAGUGAGGAAUAUUGGUCAAUGGGCGCAAGCCUGAACCAGCCAAGUAGCGUGCAGGAUGACGGCCCUACGGGUUGUAAACUGCUUUUAUACGGGAAUAACGCGCCUUACGUGUAGGGCUUUGCAUGUACCGUAUGAAUAAGGACCGGCUAAUUCCGUGCCAGCAGCCGCGGUAAUACGGAAGAUCCGAGCGUUAUCCGGAUUUAUUGGGUUUAAAGGGAGCGUAGGCGGCAUGUCAAGCGUGCUGUGAAAUGUCCGGGCUCAACUCGGGCCUUGCAGCGCGAACUGGCGUGCUUGAGGCGUCGGAGAGCAGGCGGAAAU
This 333-nucleotide ribosomal RNA is filed under the name uncultured bacterium. RNAcentral's name for it is "partial 16S ribosomal RNA". It matches the Rfam family "Bacterial small subunit ribosomal RNA", at positions 338 to 668 of the family's 1533-position model. The record is from RNAcentral.